Cryptomeria japonica (Japanese cedar) is the source of this 1361-nucleotide long non-coding RNA. RefSeq lists it as uncharacterized. NCBI's taxonomy places the organism in Eukaryota, Viridiplantae, Streptophyta, Pinopsida, Cupressales, Cupressaceae. The transcript has 2 exons. The record is from RefSeq and is a predicted model, not a curated record.
UUGAGAUUUUGGAGUGGAUGAAUUGACUGAUGCUUUGCAUUAGUUAGGUCUCUAAGGAUGCAAACCUUCAGCAGAUCGAUAGAAGGGCUGGACGAAACCCUAGUUCUUCAUCUUGCGAGUGGGUUUGUGACGGAAUCUACAUCAGUGCCAACAUUGUGAAGUCUUCUUCGAAGACUAAUUUGUUGCUGAGAGAGGAAGACAUUUCAGUCUUUCUUAUUUGUGCUUCAUUGCUGGCCAAAGGCCAACUCAUGCUAGGGUUUGAAUUGGAGAUCAUUGGAGACAACUUUGGUGAUAAGAAUCUUCAACAACUUGGCAACAUAAGAAGCUGAUUACAUCUCAGAAUUCUGAGUUUAUUAUCAGACAUUUUUAGUCAUAUAUUAGGUUUGCCAUGGGGGCCGACCAGACCUAUCAAACCCCACAUUUUUGUUCGUAACUUCUGAUUGAAGACUUAGAAUUUUGUGGGUAUUGGUGCAUUGGAUUCUUAUUUCCGAGACAAUCAUUUCCAUCACUCAUUUGGCACUGAAGACUGCUGAUAUUAUUUUAUAUUUCACUCAGAUCAGAACAGGGGCGAUUUUGAUAGAGGCUUCAUUUCGGCACAUAGGAGGCACAAAGACAACCGAUAUUGCUUGUUUCUUCAUCUACACUUCUAGGCGCUUCACUCAGAUCGAUGACGUCGAGAAAGGCUAAGGUGACAACUUGAGGCGCAAAUUGAGGACUUGAUCGCGAUCAAAGCCAAGAAGCGAAGAUGCAGGAGUGCAGGAUUAAAAUGACAAAGCACGGGGAAGCGCGCCACCACAUGAACCACAAAGUUGAAGACCCAACAAGAUUGAUGACAAAAGAACACACAUAAUACUACAAAGCAUGCAUUAUGAGAAAUACACAGCUGGAAUUAAUUCUAGAAAACUAGUUUGUAAACUGAACUGCUUUAUUGUAAAAGGACUGCCUGUGGGCCUCGUUCAAGACAUUUUAAAACAAAGGGACACAAGUCAAUUAUGCUUCAACUACGUGAUUGACCAAAUUGAUGUCAAAUAGUGGUCGGUAGCUGGAAAAGUGGUUGGGAGGACAACUGAAGAUAACUAGGCAUGAGUUAAAGCUGCCAAGUUUCUAGAAGGCAGGUCAGGGCCUUUGGAUGCAGUCAAUCCUGGCCUUUGAUUCAAAUUGUAAAAUCUAUAAAAGGCAGGAGCCUUUCUAUUGUAAAGGGUUAGAUAGUUAGAAGGGAGAAAGUUAGAGGAUUAGUAGUUAGAGUUAGUUAGAUUUUUAGGAGUUAGAAGUUAGAUGCAAUUUUCAGAUUAGAAGUAGAGUAGAACUGCUGCAAGAAAUUGUUGUAAUAACAGUUGAAAUCAAUAUAUGAACAUUGAAUU